UAUCCUUCAACCUAUUUCAUUCUGCCCAUUAUCUGAAAGAGCUCCUUGCAAGAACCAUGGAGUCUAUGGCAUUGGAUUUGAGGAUCACUGCAGUGGAAAAUAAAACUUUUCCUCUGCAACACCUUUGUUGCCCAGAGGAAUCUCUCAUUGGUCAGCCCUCACUGAAGAUGAGCGUCCGCAGAUCUACCAUCAAAUUAAGCGUUGCAGAGUAUAAUAAAAGGAAAAGCAUGAACAGUAGCUUCUGCUCAUUCUCUGGCCGCACCAGGACACCUGUGUAUCACACAUCAAAUAUUACAGUUUGUGAGCAGUGUUGAAUUAAGCCCCGGGGACUAGAGUCUUACCCACAGAACAAGCACAGCCAGGUAAGGAGCAAUGCAUGUUCAUCCUCACUACUUUAACCUUCUUUACUGGUGUCAUUUGCUACUGGGAAAGGGGCCUAUGUCUUUCAAUGCUGAAACCUGCCAUGCUACUUAAUGUCUCAGGGUGGAAUCCACAAACCUGGGUUAUGUGCUCAUGUUAACGUGCUGGGUUAUGAACUAUGUCAUUUAUGGGGGGAGUUGGGUGUUUCAGGAAUGAAUGUACCACAGUGGGCACAGCAAGUGGGAAACCAGCAGAAAGUGCUGAUAAAAGUGUGUGUCCUAAUCCUGCCUGUUUUGGGAUAGGGUGGCACCUAUGUCAGAACCCAAAACCAUCUCUCCAAGAGUUAGCUGU
Molecule: long non-coding RNA, 711 nt
Filed under: Crocodylus porosus (Australian saltwater crocodile)
Lineage: Eukaryota; Metazoa; Chordata; Crocodylia; Crocodylidae
Description: lncRNA (ENSCPRG00005000112.1)
Source: RNAcentral